UAAUCAACUUCUGAUUUGAACCCAUCUUG
Molecule: non-coding RNA, 29 nt
Filed under: Rattus norvegicus (Norway rat)
Lineage: Eukaryota; Metazoa; Chordata; Mammalia; Rodentia; Muridae
Source: RNAcentral